GUGGGGAAUUUUGGACAAUGGGCGCAAGCCUGAUCCAGCGACGCCGCGUGGAGGACGAAGGCCUUCGGGUUGUAAACUCCUUUUGGAGGGGAAGAAUAAAUUGACGGUACCCUCAGAAAAAGCCACGGCUAACUACGUGCCAGCAGCCGCGGUAAUACGUAGGUGGCGAGCGUUACUCGGAAUUACUAGGCGUAAAGCGUAUGUAGGUGGUUAGAUAAGUCUAUGGUGAAAUUUCCUGGCUUAACUGGGAAGGGACAUAGAUACUAUCUGGCUUGAGUGUGGGAGGGGGAGACGGAAUUCCUGGUGUAGCGGUGAAAUGCGUAGAUAUCAGGAGGAACACCGAUGGCGAAAGCAGUCUCCUGGCCCAAUACUGACACUGAGGUACGAAAGCUAGGGUAGCAAACAGGAUUAGAAACCCUUGUAGUCC
This 427-nucleotide ribosomal RNA is filed under the name uncultured bacterium. Its description in RNAcentral is "partial 16S ribosomal RNA". It matches the Rfam family "Bacterial small subunit ribosomal RNA", at positions 354 to 796 of the family's 1533-position model. The record is from RNAcentral.